Long non-coding RNA from Triticum aestivum (bread wheat), 234 nucleotides. RefSeq lists it as uncharacterized. The transcript has 3 exons. Lineage: Eukaryota; Viridiplantae; Streptophyta; Magnoliopsida; Poales; Poaceae. The record is from RefSeq and is a predicted model, not a curated record.
CCCGACCUCCUUUGUCGCGUCUCCGGCGCGGCCGUGCAUCCCGUGCAUCAUGUGAUGGCCUCCUCUGCCGCGCGACGGUGGUAGCCAACCUGCACUGCGGCCGCUGCAUCGCCUACGAUCUUCUUCAUCAGUGCAUCUCCCACCUGAUCGACGCCGACGCCACGGUCCUCGAGCAGAACAGGGUUUGGCAGUUAAUCCAUGUUACUGGAGAUUGAAGAUUUUUAGCAGGAUUUC